RNAcentral lists this long non-coding RNA (3557 nucleotides) under Nicotiana tabacum (common tobacco). Its description in RNAcentral is "long non-coding RNA (NTAB_LNC002899)". The record is from RNAcentral. Lineage: Eukaryota; Viridiplantae; Streptophyta; Magnoliopsida; Solanales; Solanaceae.
UUCAAAAGUUUCGUCUCUAGGGACAUAAACUGGAUGAGGUUUCUCUAUUCGACUCUCUGCUAGUGGAUCUGUCAGCAUCCAAAGAUCAAGAAAAAAGGUAUGUCACAGAAUUGAGGCACGAAAAUUUUUCUCCUCAACAGAUUUCUCAGUACCUGUUUUAGUUGGACUUCUACCAGUCCGACAACGCCUAGGAUAAGGUCUCUCUUUGCCACCUAUCAGUGGCCUAGCAAGAUCCUCACUUUUGUCGGGAUUUCCUAAAUCAUUAUAAACAUCAUAAUCAUAGAUUCGUUCAUGUAGCUUCCUCUCGCCUUUCCCAGUUCCACGAAUGAUCAACAAGUCUUCACGUCGAAGAUCCUUGAUGCCAGGUGGUGUUUCAGAUGGUAGAUAUGCCUGCUAAUGCAGGAGCAUCCUUGAUCAAGCACCAAUAUCUGCUUUACAAAAUGAAAAGUAAAAAUCAUUUAAAAGUAUCGCUUACCUGAUUUUGGAAGAUAAUUCUACUCUCUGGAUUAUCUUUUCGAGAAUGAAUCCAUGUAUUAGCACUAAAGAAUAUAGGGCCUUCAUUAAAGUUAUGAACAACAAUCUGCACUAAGUGUAUCUCUUUGUCAAGGAAAUUGGUAAUAAUGAUAGCUCCAGGACGUCCAAAAUCGCGUGGUACUCUGAAAUUGGCAGCAUAUUCAACUAUAUAUGGAUGGUCAGAAGGCUUGGACAACCAACCUCGCACAUAAGAUUCCGCAAUCUUUCCCGACUUGGUAACUGUGAGCAGAAAACAGUGUUAGUACUCCAUUAACCUUAGAAUACUACUCAUGUAAAAGUGUCAAGUGGAAUGGAAUUGAUGCCCUAUAGUCCAUUCCAUCAGUCACAAUAAAUGGAUUCAUUAUGCACUAAGUGCUGUGUUGCCAGUUAAAGUUUUCACUACAGGAAACAAGACAAAUGAACUAAAAGGCAUCCAGAAAAGCUAAACAAUAAAAAGUAUAAGGAAAAAGGCGCAAAAAGAAUGAACGACAAUAUAUUCCAUCUCAUGCACCAGGUGUUUACACCAACCCAUAUUAACUUAUCAUGGUUAAGUGACUGAACAGGUCAGUGUGUAUAUUAAUUAACCAUAGUGCGGUAAGUGCGGGUAAUUUGUUUCCUUCAUGUUGCUCCCCCAUCCGCUUUAUGUUAUUCCAUGGUGGUUGACAAAGAUAGAGAGUUACAUGCGUACCUCCGUACAUUCUACUAUAUACAUGAUAUACAACAUCGUAUACAUAUAUUUUCUGUAGUCUAGCAACUUGGUCAGUGAGAUGUUGUUAUUGCCUGGCCACUUGGUCAGUGAGAGAUACUAUUGCCUGACCUUAUGGUUAGUGAGAGUUUAUAUUUGCUUGGCCUUACAGUCAGUGAGAGUUUACUGUUGCCUGUCCACUUGGUCGGCGAGAGAUACUAUUGCCUGGACUUAUAGUUAUUGAGAGUUUAUAUUUUCCUGGCCUUUUGGUUAGUGAGAGUUUAUUAUUAUGGCAAACAAAUCAUAAGCAUCUAUUAGUCAUGUGCAAACAUCUAAGUGCGGGUAAUUUGUUUCCUUCAUGUUGCUCCCCCGGCCCCCCCAAAGAAGCAAAAUAAUUUUUUGAGAAGAUUGAAGGUUUUCUCUUAGUUCUUUUUCUUUGUACUCCUAGUUUGGAGUGCAAGAUAGGGGGGAGGGGGGUUGCUAUAGUACUUGCUUUAGUCAAUGAACCAAACCAAACCAUACCUAUUACCAGCAGUCUAGACAGUUGGAAAUAAAGUUGAGAAAUUAGAUCAAAAGAAAAAGAUAAAAUAGAACUCAACUCAUACAAUAAUAAAGUCAAAGAAUCAGAAACCAAAGACACUACCAACGCAACAAGUAAAGUUUAUGCAGAGAGAUUUGUAUAUCCAAGAAAAAUUACAAACCAGGAUCAAUGUCUUCACUAAUGAGCUGAAUCAAGAUUCCCCUUCCAAUCCCAUUCAUAAAAGACUCCCACUGAUCUUCAAUCUUGUCUGUGAUUUUCUCCUUCAUUUUCUUCCUCAAAGUGAUCACUGCUCUCACAUCAAGAUUCCCACUUUUGCCAGAAGAAACCAAUUUCUCCACCAAGUUUGUAGUCUUUUUGUUAUUCCCACUUUGGAUCACAGCUUUAACUUGUGAUGUACUUCUUUUUGACAUCAAUUUCCUCCGGCCGCCGGUGAUGAUCUCCGGUGCCCGGACCUUAAGGACAUGUUGGAUUUCUGAGCUGAGUGCAGUGGAUCUUGAUUGAGCUGUAAGCAUCAUUGGAAUUAUUGACACCCCCACCUAUGUUGAAAAUUCAAGACUAUGAGAUGAUCAAAUGAAUUAUAAUUGUGUAGAUAUUAUGUAUAGAGGGUGUGACACAUUUGAGAUAUAUUUUUCCAACAAACUUGUUAGUACUACAUACAGUUUUAUUGAGUCAUUUAAGUAGCAGUCGUAUGUGAUGUGUCAUAAGAUAUAUUUUUGAAUAUUCAAUGACUCAACUGGAUCAUCAUCCACUAUUUUUAAGUCCUUUUCCGUCGAGUCGAGGUGUAUCCGAAAUAGUCUCUUUACCUCCUUGAGGUAAGGGUAAGAUAUGUAUAUAUUUUACCUUCCUCAUAUUUCACUUGUGACAUUUUACUGGAUUGUUGUUGUUAUUGUUGUUGUACUGUUACAACAAAGAUAACUAACACCUUUAGAGGAAUGGGCUUUCAUGAUCAUUUACAAUAUUGAAAUUAAGAAAAUGUUCUCUUGUGUGCAAAAGUAAAUGUCUUAUGUGUAAAAAAAAAAAAAAUAGGAUCAAAAAACUAAAAACAAAUUUGUAAAGACUCACGAACAACAAUUUAUUUCUAAGCAAGUUAAAAUUGGGUUCAUGUUACUUUAUUAAGCAAAAAGUAAAUGAUAUAACUUCUAAUUUUAAUCAAGUAGGUUAAAGUCAGCAUAACCGGCUUCAAAUUCGAAUAUACAAGACUUGUGUUAAUUUUAUAUAUUCCACUCAUACCAAAUUUAAAAUUAAGGUAUUUGAUAAAAUGCAGGAGCGGGGGUAGGUGGAGACAUCAUAUCAAUUUGAAUGGACCAUGUCACUAAUUGUGGCUAUGGAUUUUCUUUUCUGUACAUCUUGUUAAAACUGUGGCUAUAGAUGCAAAUAAAAAUAAUGAAGCAUUGUGCAGCUGAAUGUCAUUUAUGUCCAAUUCCUUUAAAUGUGGCAAUUAUUUCCAUUGAUACUGUGGCAAGCUUAUUGGGGCAUGUGAAGUGGAAGAUGCAUGUGGUGGACCUGCUUAGAUUUUGGGUAUCAUUUUAAUUACAGAUUUGUUUUUUGCUAAGAUUAAUUACGGAUGUUUCUAUUGGUGAACCCUCCACUUCCAACCAAGAGGUUGUGAGUUCGAGUCACCCAAGAGCAAGGUGGAGAGUUUUUGAAGAGAUGGAGUCGAGGGUCUAUCGAAAACAGUCUCUUUACCCCAAGAUAGAGAUAAAAUCUGUGUACACACUACCUUCCCCAAACUCCAUUAUACUAAGUUGUAAUUACAUAUGCUUCUAGUCUUUAAUGUUAAACCAGCCUACUUUUCAACCUCCACCUAACUCCCGAACA